AGCAAGGCAUGGCCUUGACAAGGUUUCUGUCAAAUGGGUUAAGAGCAGAAGCGAGAUUUAUUUAUUUAUCUGAGAGAGUGUGUGUGAGACAGAGAGGAAGAGAGAAUCUGAAGCAGACUCCACAUUGAGCACAGAGCCUGAUGUGGGGCUCAAUCCCAUAACCACGAGAUCAUGACCUGAACCAAAACCAAGAAUCAGAUGCUUAACCAACUGAGCCACCCAG
Molecule: long non-coding RNA, 223 nt
Filed under: Mustela putorius furo (domestic ferret)
Lineage: Eukaryota; Metazoa; Chordata; Mammalia; Carnivora; Mustelidae
Description: lncRNA (ENSMPUG00000026542.1)
Source: RNAcentral